GUCUAUGGCCAUACCACCCUGAAUGUGCCCGAUCUCAUCUGAUCUCGGAAGCUAAGCAGGGUCGGGCCUGGUUAGUACUUGGAUGGGAGACAACAGGACUGAAAACA
This 107-nucleotide ribosomal RNA is filed under the name Fukomys damarensis (Damara mole-rat). The record is from RNAcentral. Lineage: Eukaryota; Metazoa; Chordata; Mammalia; Rodentia; Bathyergidae.